This is a long non-coding RNA of Panicum virgatum (switchgrass), 782 nucleotides long. RefSeq lists it as uncharacterized. The transcript has 2 exons. The record is from RefSeq and is a predicted model, not a curated record. NCBI's taxonomy places the organism in Eukaryota, Viridiplantae, Streptophyta, Magnoliopsida, Poales, Poaceae.
AGGCAGGCGCUCGGCGAGGCGGUCGGCUGCGCAGCUGCUUGGCACGCAGGCAGGAUCAGCUCGCGGCGCGCAGGGCACCGGCUGCAGAGUAGCUCGGUCGACAGACCCCAGUGCGGCGCGGACACCAGCGCAUCCCUGGUGCGUGGCGUGCGACCUGAGCAGCAACCGGCGCGGCAGCAGGCGGAGCAGGGAGUGCUGGAGCGCAUCGCCCUCAGGUGAGGAGGCCGCCCAGGUGCAGGUCACCAGUGACACUGAUGCAGCGUGUUUUUGCUUUGGAUCUUGUGUGCUUGCAUGAUUGAUGAUCUGCAGGUGGCCAGCGAACUUCAGUAGCUGCAGCUUUGUGUUUGCAUUUGUGUGUGAUCUGAUUUGACAGGUCAUUAAUCAAGGAGGCAGCUGUUAGCUCGGUGAUUGGAAAGUUCGGCCACGCCUACAACAUGCUUGGUGAAAUGCCGCACUAGGCCGUCCAUGAAGGAGAUUGCCGAUGAAUUGGGCAGAUUAAGGAAGCUCUCGCUGCAUCCUUGGGCUCAACUGGAUGCAGAGACCGAGACAGAGAGCCUUCUUGGCGGACCAUCAACUGCUAGUAUAGAAAUAGAAGAAGCUACUACUUCUGGGUAUCCUACGCAGGGUGGGGAGGGGAAGACCUGCCCAUGAACCCAAUGAGUUCAUAUUUUGGGAGGUGAUCAAAACAUAUGCUCUACGUCUUUGGAAACUCUUUAUGCUGGGGCCUGUGCUAGCUGGUCUAAUAUGAAAUGUGUAUAGAUGAAACUGUUUUUUCUGCCUGA